RNAcentral lists this ribosomal RNA (497 nucleotides) under uncultured bacterium. Its description in RNAcentral is "partial 16S ribosomal RNA". It matches the Rfam family "Bacterial small subunit ribosomal RNA", at positions 28 to 507 of the family's 1533-position model. The record is from RNAcentral.
GAUGAACGCUGGCGGCGUGCCUAAUACAUGCAAGUCGAGCGAACAGACGAGGAGCUUGCUCCUCUGACGUUAGCGGCGGACGGGUGAGUAACACGUGGAUAACCUACCUAUAAGACUGGGAUAACUUCGGGAAACCGGAGCUAAUACCGGAUAAUAUAUUGAACCGCAUGGUUCAAUAGUGAAAGGCGGUUUUGCUGUCACUUAUAGAUGGAUCCGCGCCGCAUUAGCUAGUUGGUAAGGUAACGGCUUACCAAGGCAACGAUGCGUAGCCGACCUGAGAGGGUGAUCGGCCACACUGGAACUGAGACACGGUCCAGACUCCUACGGGAGGCAGCAGUAGGGAAUCUUCCGCAAUGGGCGAAAGCCUGACGGAGCAACGCCGCGUGAGUGAUGAAGGUCUUCGGACCGUAAAACUCUGUUAUUAGGGAAGAACAAAUGUGUAAGUAACUAUGCACGUCUUGACGGUACCUAAUCAGAAAGCCACGGCUAACUACGUG